GUCUAUGUUCCUUGGAACAGGACGUCACAGAGGGUGAGAAUCCCGUGCGAUGAGAUGCCCAAUUCUAUGUAAAGUGCUUUCGAAGAGUCGAGUUGUUUGGGAAUGCAGCUCUAAGUGGGUGGUAAAUUCCAUCUAAAGCUAAAUAUUGGCGAGAGACCGAUAGCGAACAAGUACAGUGAUGGAAAGAUGAAAAGAACUUUGAAAAGAGAGUGAAAAAGUACGUGAAAUUGUUGAAAGGGAAGGGCUUGAGAUCAGACUUGGUAUUUUGCGAUCCUUUCCUUCUUGGUUGGGUUCCUCGCAGCUUACUGGGCCAGCAUCGGUUUGGAUGGUAGGAUAAUGACUAAGGAAUGUGGCUCUACUUCGGUGGAGGUUUAUAGCCCUUGGUUGAUA
This 390-nucleotide ribosomal RNA is filed under the name Debaryomyces hansenii. RNAcentral describes it as "eukaryotic LSU rRNA". It matches the Rfam family "Eukaryotic large subunit ribosomal RNA", at positions 179 to 575 of the family's 3401-position model. Lineage: Eukaryota; Fungi; Ascomycota; Pichiomycetes; Serinales; Debaryomycetaceae. The record is from RNAcentral.